Molecule: unclassified non-coding RNA, 28 nt
Filed under: Alfalfa stunt phytoplasma
Lineage: Bacteria; Bacillati; Mycoplasmatota; Mollicutes; Acholeplasmatales; Acholeplasmataceae
Also listed under: 1 other name
Description: partial 16S-23S ribosomal RNA intergenic spacer
Source: RNAcentral
CUAAGGAAACAAUUAUCAUCUUCAGUUU